This 3783-nucleotide long non-coding RNA is filed under the name Sus scrofa (pig). Its description in RNAcentral is "lncRNA (ENSSSCG00000063293.1)". The record is from RNAcentral. Lineage: Eukaryota; Metazoa; Chordata; Mammalia; Artiodactyla; Suidae.
CCUGUCUCUUCCGUCUAUGUGUGAUUAUGAAAACCUGGUAUUGAAUGGAGCUUUGUGACUCACAUUGUAAAGCCAAGAAUCCUAGGAGUGACUGAUUUUGGAAAGGAAUUAUUUCACUAUGUGUUUAUGUUUCUUCUUAAAAAAAUGCUGAAAUAUAGUCACUACUUUAGUGUAUUGGAAAAAUAAAAGGGUAAUAGUAGGAGAAUAAUCUUACACUUGGACAAUGUUAAUACACAAAGAUGUAUACUUGCUGGAAUUGGGCAGAAUUUUUAUUUAAGCUUUCUGUUGGGAAAUGUAAAGAGGGAAGCUUGCUGAGGUGCAAGAUUUUCAAGGUCCAUAAACUUAAUAUUAUCCAUAUUAUUGCUCCUACAUUACCUAAGCAUUAUUGAAUGCAGUGCCUUAAAUAUAGAAGCUGCUCAAUAACUAUUUGCUGAAUUAUUUAGUUUGCUUUGGCCAUGAACAAAACAAUGGUGUGAAAAUUCUUUUGUAAAACUACAAAUCACUACUCAGAUAUAUAGCCAAAUAUGCCGAUUCUGUGUUUUACCUUUCCAGAAGUUUCUUUUGCCACCUUCUGUGCUUGGCAACCUUAAGAUCACAUACAUGGAUGCACGCACACAUGCAUGAAUAGUAUGAAAUCAAUCUGGGAUGGGUAAACAUAACAAAUCAAACUUUAAAUUUGGCCUCCAAUGCUAAUUGCUAAUAGUUACUACAUACCAGGUACUUUUUAAUAUAUUUUUUUAGGUAUGUUACAACUAUUAAUCUUAAAAUAAUUAUGUGAUACAAAUGCUGUAUGUUAAUAUGUGAAAACUAAGAAACAGACAAUAGAACCUUACCACAACCAUACAGCUAAUACCAUGUCUUCACUUUAAACUUUGGUAUAAAAAUCUCCACCUUUUUUAACAGUGCCCCCAAAUAGCCUCCAACAUUGUUAACUGUGGGAGAGUUCUUGUACUUGUUUGGUAUACUCCGUAAACAUGAUGUUUUCAAUUUGUGAUCCGCUUUCAAGGAUCAGACCCAAAGUCAUAGAUACCUCACAGGAGAAAAAAAUUUCUAUUUUCCUAGCUUAUAGAGUCUCUUAUUCUUUCUCCUCUCCAUUAAACUUUGAAAGAUGUUGCAAGUAUCAGAUAACUUUUCAUGUAUACAUAUCAACCCCCUAGCCUAACUGCUUAAAACAGCAACUUCAUAUUAGCUCUUGGUUUUGUGGUUUACCAAAUCAAGCUGGGCUCAGCUAGAUGGUCUUCUGGUCUUGGCUUGGUUUACUCAUGGAUCUGUGACUCUGUUUUGGCUAGCUGUUGGCUGGGGUGAUAGGGGCAAUUGGGCUAUACGCCUCUCAUCAUCUGGCAGACUGGCCAAUUCAUUAAUGGUGACUAUGCUACUUUCCAGGACGGAGCUGAUGGUACCCACUCAGAACUGUCACAAUGCCAUUUCUGUCCCACUGUAUCUGUCAAAACAAGAUACAAGGACAAUGCAGAUUCAAGGUGGUAGGAAAUAAACUGUGCCUCUUGAUGAAAGGAGUUACAUGGUUAUACUUUGAUGUAUUCCUAUACACCAGUAAAAGAAUAAUGAUAGCCAGAAUCAUCAUCGAUCUACCUGGCCCACAAAAUGUCAAAUAAUUUCCUUGAAGCUGAGUGCACCAUUUUGUACACAGUGCCUGGCCAAUAGGAAAGGUUUGAUGUAGGCUUCGAAUCCCUGAGUUCUUAUUUUCAAUUGUAGAGUUACCUUUUAUUCUUGGAUAGAAUGAUUUAAAAAGAGAAUCUGCAUUAUGACUCAUUUCCUGGCCUAAUUAACAAUUACUUAGUGUCUUAAAUCCAUUUUAAUCUAUUCCUGGGAAUUAAUAGAAUGAUUUAUCAAAAGGCACGCAUUUCAAAGAUGAGAACCCAGCAAUGCAAGAUGCACUUGAAAUUAAUUUUAUUUUAAAGAGGUACAGAUUUGCUUGGAGGACUACCUAACAAUACAUAUCAAUGGGUAGAGUAGAGUGCAUAUACCCUUUUAUCACUUCUACUUCUAGUACUUAAUCCCUAGUUAAUAAAAAAUACCUUUAUGGGAUGUUCGUGUAUCAUCAUUUAUAAUAUGCUUCCCUAUAGUUUGUGCUCUCGGAAUCUUCGAAAUCCAUAAAUAGAUGGAAUUUCACAUGCUAUAUAUUUUUUUCAAAGGGGAAAUAAUACAUUUACAGACGCAGAUGUGGCAGAGAAAAUACCACUAGACUUGAAACCAGAAAACUUGAAUUUUAUUUUCAGAUAUGUUAUUUUACUAUUUUUUGACUUUACAUACUUAUUUAUGAAUUCCUUGGUGGCUCAGAGGGUUAGAGGUCCAGCAUUGUCACUGCUGUGGCCCAAGUUUGAGCCAUGGGAACUUCCAUGGCUAUGGGUAUGGCCAAAAAAACCUUAUUUAGUGGAUAUGAACCCCAGUUUUUCAUUGAUACAGACAUGUCACUCAGCCAUGUAAUAAUAAUAAUAAUGAUAGUCAAUGGAACAGUGCAUUAAAGGUAUCUAAUACUGAGAACUCAGUAUAUUACAUCUAAAAGGUAAUUAAAAUUUGCCAUAUAUUACUUUUAACAUUAAUAUUUCAAUAUCACUUUAAAUUUAUAAUGAUUAAAAUGCAUAUUUUUCAAUUAAAACCCAUAUAAAAUCUUAAAAUAAAAUACACCAUACUUGAAAACCCUUCAGUCUAAUUCAGGAUAAUCUUCAAACAACAAUGUAUUAUUUCCCUAGAGAAUGAUAGUGUUGAACUCUUAAAGAUUUGCUCUUGUAAGUUCCCUCAUAUUAAAAUUCCUUUGAAUAGUUUUUAUGUGAUUCUAUUACAUCAUUUCCUGUCACUUUCAAAUUUCUCGGUGUCUUCUAGUGUGCCUAUAGGUAGUAAUCAACAUUUUAAAUUUGAUGCUGAAAUAUUUAAUAAACUAAGAAAUCAAAUGGCAACUGUUAUCAAAAUUGUGGCAAAAGCAGGGGCACAGUUCUGAGUGAACAUCCAAGAAACUCCUUUACAAAACUGUGGUAUAAUAGGAAAUAAACAUAGUGGUCUCUGCUCUAGUACCUGGCGCAAGUAUCUGAAACCGUUGUGAAUUCCUAGUCUUAAGAGUAGUAGGAACAUCUUUUGUUCUAAUAGUCUUGGAUUCCAGUUCCUGAUACAGGGCUCCUGGGACCCUGUUAAUUUCCUGGGUGAUAGGAGCAUCUUUUGUUCUAAUAAGGCAACACUGGAUAGGCUUCUGGAGGAGGCUGGAUCACAGGAAAGACCUUACCAUGAUUAAGAGCUUGGAAUUUUCAGCCCCACAACCCUCCGCUCGUUUAAAGAGGGGAGAGGAUCCAGUAAUGAAGUUAAUACUUAAUCAGAUUUUUUAUAAGAAAGCCUCCAUAAAAAUCCCAAUAGUAUGGGUUUCAGAGAGCUUCCAGGGGUAUGAACACAUCUUUAUCCUAGGAGGGUGACAUAACCCAACUCCAUGGGGACAGAACCACCUGCUCUUGAGACCCUUCUAGGCUUCACCCUAUGUACCUCUUCAUCUGGCUGGUCAUCUGCAUCCUUUUCACACUAAGUAUUUUCCCCUUGAGGUCUGUGACCCAUUCAAUCAUAUAAAUCAAACCCAAAGAGAGGGACAGGUGACAACCUGAACCUGUGAUUGGCAUCUGAAGUGGAGCGGGAGCAGUCUUGUAGAACUAAGCCCUUAACCUGUGGGGUCUCAUACUAUCUCUGCAUUGAGUCAGAACUGAGUUAAGUUGUAGGAUACCAAAUUGGGGCUGCAGAUAAUUUCUUGGUGAGAGAAAACCCCCACACAUCUUGGAUCAGAAGUAU